Molecule: ribosomal RNA, 460 nt
Filed under: uncultured bacterium
Lineage: Bacteria
Description: partial 16S ribosomal RNA
Rfam family: Bacterial small subunit ribosomal RNA
Source: RNAcentral
CCUACGGGAGGCAGCAGUGAGGAAUAUUGGUCAAUGGACGCAAGUCUGAACCAGCCAUGCCGCGUGCAGGAAGACGGCUCUAUGAGUUGUAAACUGCUUUUGUACGAGGGUAAACGCAGAUACGUGUAUCUGUCUGAAAGUAUCGUACGAAUAAGGAUCGGCUAACUCCGUGCCAGCAGCCGCGGUAAUACGGAGGAUUCAAGCGUUAUCCGGAUUUAUUGGGUUUAAAGGGUGCGUAGGCGGUCGGAUAAGUUAGAGGUGAAAUCCCGAGGCUCAACUUCGGAAUUGCCUUUGAUACUGUUCGGCUUGAGAGGAGUUGCGGUAGGCGGAAUGCAUGGUGUAGCGGUGAAAUGCUUAGAGAUCAUGCAGAACACCGGUUGCGAAGGCAGCUUACCGGGCUACAUCUGACGUUGAGGCACGAAAGCGUGGGGAGCAAACAGGAUUAGAUACCCCAGUAGUC